UGGGUUUGACAUGGAUCGGGAGUGCUCAGAGAUGGGUGUGCCUCUUUUGGGGUCGGUUCACAGGUGGUGCAUGGCUGUCGUCAGCUCGUGUCGUGAGAUGUUGGGUUAAGUCCCGCAACGAGCGCAACCCUUGUUCACUGUUGCCAGCACGUUAUGGUGGGGACUCAGUGGAGACCGCCGGGGUCAACUCGGAGGAAGGUGGGAUGACGUCAAGUCAUCAUGCCCCUUAUGUCCG
RNAcentral lists this ribosomal RNA (235 nucleotides) under uncultured bacterium. RNAcentral's name for it is "partial 16S ribosomal RNA". It matches the Rfam family "Bacterial small subunit ribosomal RNA", at positions 977 to 1209 of the family's 1533-position model. The record is from RNAcentral.